This 515-nucleotide ribosomal RNA is filed under the name uncultured bacterium. Its description in RNAcentral is "bacterial SSU rRNA". It matches the Rfam family "Bacterial small subunit ribosomal RNA", at positions 791 to 1300 of the family's 1533-position model. The record is from RNAcentral.
UAGUCCACGCCGUAAACGAUGUAUGCUAGUUGUUGGGACCUUAGGUUUCGGUGACGCAGAGAAAUCAUUAAGCAUACCGCCUGGGGAGUACGGCCGCAAGGUUAAAACUCAAAGGAAUUGACGGGGACCCGCACAAGCGGUGGAGCAUGUUCUUUAAUUCGAAGCAACGCGAAGAACCUUACCUACACUUGACAUACUAGUCGGGACUUUCAGAGAUGAUUGUCUUCGGUUCGGCCGGACUAGAUACAGGUGCUGCAUGGCUGUCGUCAGCUCGUGUCGUGAGAUGUUAGGUUAAGUCCUGCAACGAGCGCAACCCUUAUUGUCUGUUGCCAUCAUUAAGUUGGGAACUCAGACGAGACUGCCGGUGACAAGCCGGAGGAAGGCGGGGACGACGUCAAGUCAUCAUGGGCCCUUACGUGUAGGGGCUAGAAACGUGCUACAAUGGGGUAUGACAGUGGGGCAGCUACCUCGCGAGAGGGAUGGCUAAUCCCUAAACGUACUCUCAGUUCGGGAUU